ACGCUGGCGGUAGGCCUAACACAUGCAAGUCGAACGGCAGCACAGUAAGAGCUUGCUCUUAUGGGUGGCGAGUGGCGGACGGGUGAGGAAUACAUCGGAAUCUACUUUUUCGUGGGGGAUAACGUAGGGAAACUUACGCUAAUACCGCAUACGACCUACGGGUGAAAGCAGGGGAUCUUCGGACCUUGCGCGAUUGAAUGAGCCGAUGUCGGAUUAGCUAGUUGGCGGGGUAAAGGCCCACCAAGGCGACGAUCCGUAGCUGGUCUGAGAGGAUGAUCAGCCACACUGGAACUGAGACACGGUCCAGACUCCUACGGGAGGCAGCAGUGGGGAAUAUUGGACAAUGGGCGCAAGCCUGAUCCAGCCAUACCGCGUGGGUGAAGAAGGCCUCCGGGUUGUAAAGCCCUUUUGUUGGGAAAGAAAUCCAGCCGGCUAAUACCUGGUUGGGAUGACGGUACCCAAAGAAUAAGCACCGGCUAACUUCGUGCCAGCAGCCGCGGUAAUACGAAGGGUGCAAGCGUUACUCGGAAUUACUGGGCGUAAAGCGUGCGUAGGUGGUUGUUUAAGUCUGUUGUGAAAGCCCUGGGCUCAACCUGGGAACUGCAGUGGAAACUGGACAACUAGAGUGUGGUAGAGGGUAGCGGAAUUCCCGGUGUAGCAGUGAAAUGCGUAGAGAUCGGGAGGAACAUCCAUGGCGAAGGCAGCUACCUGGACCAACACUGACACUGAGGCACGAAAGCGUGGGGAGCAAAC
RNAcentral lists this ribosomal RNA (753 nucleotides) under uncultured bacterium. RNAcentral describes it as "bacterial SSU rRNA". It matches the Rfam family "Bacterial small subunit ribosomal RNA", at positions 33 to 773 of the family's 1533-position model. The record is from RNAcentral.